UACGUAGGGUGCGAGCGUUGUCCGGAAUUAUUGGGCGUAAAGAGCUCGUAGGCGGCCUAUUGCGUCUGCUGUGAAAGCCCGGGGCUUAACCCCGGGUCUGCAGUGGAUACGGGCUGGCUUGAGUGCGGUAGGGGAGACUGGAAUUCCUGGUGUAGCGGUGAAAUGCGUAGAGAUCCGGCGGAACACCGGUGGUGAAGACGGUCUCCUGGGCCGAGGGCCGACGCUGAGGCGCGAGAGCGUGGGGAGCGAACCGG
RNAcentral lists this ribosomal RNA (254 nucleotides) under uncultured bacterium. RNAcentral describes it as "partial 16S ribosomal RNA". It matches the Rfam family "Bacterial small subunit ribosomal RNA", at positions 524 to 776 of the family's 1533-position model. The record is from RNAcentral.